AGAGUUUGAUCCUGGCUCAGGACGAACGCUGGCGGUGUGCUUCACACAUGCAAGUCGAGCGAAUGAAGAAGGUAGCUUGCUACUUUUGGAUUUAGCGGCGGACGGGUGAGUAAUAUAUAGGAAUCUGCCCUAGAGCGGGGAACAACAGACCGAAAGGUUUGCUAAUGCCCCAUAGGUACGCAGUCUUCGGAUUGUUUAUUAAAGGAGUAAUCCACUCUAGGAUGAGCCUGUAUCCGAUUAGCUAGUUGGCGGGGUAAAGGCCCACCAAGGCUACGAUCGGUAGUUGGUCUGAGAGGAUGAUCAGCCACAAUGGGACUGAGACACGGCCCAUACUCCUACGGGAGGCAGCAGUGGGGAAUUUUACACAAUGGGGGAAACCCUGAUGUAGCGACACCGCGUGAACGAAGAAGCCUUUUGGGGUGUAAAGUUCUGUCGGCUGGAACGAAAAAAAUGACGGUACCAGCAAAGGAAGCAUCGGCUAACUACGUGCCUGCAGCCGCGGUAAGACGUAGGAUGCAAGCGUUGUCCGGAUUUAUUGGGCGUAAAGAGUUCGUAGGCGGUUAUUUAAGUCUGGUGUUAAAUACUGUGGCCCAACCACAGAACUGCAUUGGAUACUGGAUGACUUGAGUGCGGUAGAGGCGAGUGGAAUUCCCAGUGUAGCGGUGAAAUGCGUA
This 674-nucleotide ribosomal RNA is filed under the name uncultured bacterium. RNAcentral's name for it is "bacterial SSU rRNA". It matches the Rfam family "Bacterial small subunit ribosomal RNA", at positions 8 to 692 of the family's 1533-position model. The record is from RNAcentral.